GACGAACGCUGGCGGCGUGCUUAACACAUGCAAGUCGAGCGGUAAGGCCCUUUCGGGGGUACGACGAGCGGCGAACGGGUGAGUAACACGUGGGUGACCUGCCCUCAGCUCUGGGAUAAGCCGUGGGAAACCGGGUACUAAUACUGGAUAUGACUCCAUGACGCAUGUUGGUGGGGUGGAAAGCCUUGUGCGGCUGAGGAUGGGCCCGCGGCCU
RNAcentral lists this ribosomal RNA (214 nucleotides) under uncultured bacterium. RNAcentral describes it as "partial 16S ribosomal RNA". It matches the Rfam family "Bacterial small subunit ribosomal RNA", at positions 28 to 239 of the family's 1533-position model. The record is from RNAcentral.